This 253-nucleotide ribosomal RNA is filed under the name uncultured bacterium. RNAcentral's name for it is "partial 16S ribosomal RNA". It matches the Rfam family "Bacterial small subunit ribosomal RNA", at positions 524 to 776 of the family's 1533-position model. The record is from RNAcentral.
GACGUAGGGUGCGAGCGUUGUCCGGAAUUAUUGGGCGUAAAGAGCUCGUAGGCGGCUUGUCGCGUCGACCGUGAAAACUUGGGGCUCAACCCCAAGCCUGCGGUCGAUACGGGCAGGCUAGAGUUCGGUAGGGGAGACUGGAAUUCCUGGUGUAGCGGUGAAAUGCGCAGAUAUCAGGAGGAACACCGAUGGCGAAGGCAGGUCUCUGGGCCGAUACUGACGCUGAGGAGCGAAAGCGUGGGGAGCGAACAGG